GGGCCCGCACAAGCGGUGGAGCAUGUGGUUCAAUUCGACGCAACGCGAAGAACCUUACCCAGGCUUGAACUGCGAGCGACAAACUCCGAAAGGAGUCUCCCGCAAGGGCGCUCGUAGAGGUGCUGCAUGGCUGUCGUCAGCUCGUGUCGUGAGAUGUUGGGUUAAGUCCCGCAACGAGCGCAACCCUUGUUUGCUGUUGCCAUCAGGUAAAGCUGGGCACUCUGCAAAGACUGCCGGUGAUAAACCGGAGGAAGGUGGGGAUGACGUCAAGUCAGCAUGGCCUUUAUGUCUGGGGCUACACACGUGCUACAAUGGCCGAUACAAACCGUCGCGAGCCCGUAAGGGGGAGCUAAUCGGAGAAAGUCGGUCUCAGUUCGGAUAGCAGGCUGCAACUCGCCUGCUUGAAGUUGGAAUCGCUAGUAAUCGCGGAUCAGCACGCCGCGGUGAAUACGUUCCCGGGCCUU
This 464-nucleotide ribosomal RNA is filed under the name uncultured bacterium. Its description in RNAcentral is "bacterial SSU rRNA". It matches the Rfam family "Bacterial small subunit ribosomal RNA", at positions 917 to 1382 of the family's 1533-position model. The record is from RNAcentral.